RNAcentral lists this ribosomal RNA (609 nucleotides) under uncultured bacterium. RNAcentral's name for it is "bacterial SSU rRNA". It matches the Rfam family "Bacterial small subunit ribosomal RNA", at positions 83 to 718 of the family's 1533-position model. The record is from RNAcentral.
AGCUUGUUUUUAGUGGCGCACGGGUGAGUAACACGUGAGUUACCUGCCCCCAAGAGUGGGAUAGCCCCGGGAAACUGGGAUUAAUACCGCAUAAUAUCGCAAGAUUAAAGGUGCAAACCGCUUGGGGAUGGGCUCGCGGCCUAUUAGUUAGUUGGUGAGGUAACGGCUCACCAAGGCGAUGACGGGUAGCCGGUCUGAGAGGAUGUCCGGCCACACUGGAACUGAGACACGGUCCAGACACCUACGGGUGGCAGCAGUCGAGAAUCAUUCACAAUGGGGGAAACCCUGAUGGUGCGACGCCGCGUGGGGGAGCGAAGGUCUUCGGAUUGUAAACCCCUGUCAAGUGGGAGCAAAUUAAAAAGAUAGUACCACUAGUGGAAGAGACGGCUAACUCUGUGCCAGCAGCCGCGGUAAUACAGAGGUCUCAAGCGUUGUUCGGAAUCACUGGGCGUAAAGCGUACGUAGGCGGCUUGGUAAGUCGUGUGUGAAAGGCAGGGGCUCAACCUCUGGACUGCACAUGAUACUGCCAGGCUAGAGUAAUGGAGGGGAAACCGGAAUUCUCGGUGUAGCAGUGAAAUGCGUAGAUAUCGAGAGGAACACUCGUGGCGA